Momordica charantia (bitter melon) is the source of this 1417-nucleotide non-coding RNA. Lineage: Eukaryota; Viridiplantae; Streptophyta; Magnoliopsida; Cucurbitales; Cucurbitaceae. The record is from RefSeq and is a predicted model, not a curated record.
GGGAAAACCCUAAUCCCCAAAUCCUUUGUUCGUGAACCAUCAGCCCCCCUCGUGUUCUUCUUCUUCUUCUUCGAAUACCAGUGCCCCUCACCUCCCGACGCUGGCGAUCUUUCCCACCGCGACACGUCCCCAACUCCGGCGACUAGUAGCGGCGGCGCACGAGGCGGCUCUUGGCAGCGGGCGAUGAUUCUGCUGCAGGUGGUGCGGGUUUUGGGGCGUUGGUCCGGCGGCGGUGUCUCGCGGUGGUCGGCGACCUCGGGUGUUUCUUUUCCACUGCACAGAGCGACGUCGCUCCCUUCGGUGCGUUUUCUUUGUGGCAACCACGCGUACAACAUUGUUUGUGACGUUCCGCAUCUACCCAUAAUCGCUCGAAGCCCGUUUUACACAACCCAUGCCUAUUUGAGUUAGAUUCAAACUACCCACACCUAAACGAGGUGUUGAAUCGACGCAAGAUUUAGGAGCGUAGCAGUGUGUGUAAAUAGGGCCCUCGACCGUGGAGGAGGCUUGACCAAGAAGGGACCACUAGCUGCGUUUUUGUCUAGAAUAGCUAAAAUUGUAGUUUCAUUGCUAGGAACGUUAGAGACUUGUUGUUGGGGUGUACUAGACAUUGGUUUGACUCACAGAACGUUUUUUUUUCUAUUUCUUCUUCUUGGGCGAACUAUUGUUUUGCUGUUAUUAUUAUUACUCGAGUCUCUGGUGUACUUUGGGUUGCUAGACCAAAUGAUUGUUUUUUUUUUUGUUUUUAUUUGGAUUUCUAGCCACUGAGGCAGACAUGCAUUUUUAGGAAUUGGUUGUGGUAUGAACCCCACGGUUGUUCUUAAAAAUAAUUGUUUCAUGUCUUUUUGUUGGAGAGGGGCUGAACAGGGGAGGUGAUAGCAUUACCUCAAUAUUUCAUGUCGAAAUUUUGGGGACAUUACACUUUAUGUUACCCUUAGUGGAAAGGGGUGAAUAGGUAAUAUGGUGAUGUUACCCCAUUCUUUGUAGUGAAAUUCGGGGGCGUUACAGUUUGUAUCAGAGCGGAACCUCUCCCAGUAAGAUGUGGUUCGGGCACAAACUAAGGCAGAAGCUGGUGGGCAUGUGACACUCGACUAGAGAGGAGGGGUACAUGAAUGAACCGAUAUCACAUUCGAAUGAGAGGGAUCCUGAGAUCAUGGAAGAAUGGUCAAGAAAGGCUUAAAAGAAUUGAUAGUCACUACCUAUACAAACAAGAUGCACCUUCAUUUUCGGUGGCUCAAUCAUAAGAACUUAAAAGUUAAGCGUGCUUGACUUUGAGCAAUCUUGGGUUAGGUGACCUCUUAGUUGUUUUACUAGGAAGCAUGUAAGUGUGGACAAAGCAUGUUGCAAUGUAACGUCCCGCGUUCUCGGGUAUGUUUUUUUUAAGAUAUCAUUAGUGCCUUUGGAUUUUUUUUGCCCGAAA